GACGAACGCUGGCGGCGUGCUUAACACAUGCAAGUCGAACGGAAAGGCCCUGCUUUUGUGGGGUGCUCGAGUGGCGAACGGGUGAGUAACACGUGAGUAACCUGCCCUUGACUUUGGGAUAACUUCAGGAAACUGGGGCUAAUACCGGAUAGGAGCUCCUGCUGCAUGGUGGGGGUUGGAAAGUUUCGGCGGUUGGGGAGGGACUCGCGGCUUAUCAGCUUGUUGGUGGGGUAGUGGCUUACCAAGGCUUUGACGGGUAGCCGGCCUGAGAGGGUGACCGGCCACAUUGGGACUGAGAUACGGCCCAGACUCCUACGGGAGGCAGCAGUGGGGAAUAUUGCACAAUGGGCGGAAGCCUGAUGCAGCAACGCCGCGUGCGGGAUGACGGCCUUCGGGUUGCAAACCGCUUUCGCCUGUGACGAAGCGUGAGUGACGGUAAUGGGUAAAGAAGCACCGGCUAACUACGUG
RNAcentral lists this ribosomal RNA (468 nucleotides) under uncultured bacterium. Its description in RNAcentral is "partial 16S ribosomal RNA". It matches the Rfam family "Bacterial small subunit ribosomal RNA", at positions 28 to 507 of the family's 1533-position model. The record is from RNAcentral.